RNAcentral lists this ribosomal RNA (319 nucleotides) under Tomopisthes varius. Its description in RNAcentral is "partial 12S ribosomal RNA". Lineage: Eukaryota; Metazoa; Arthropoda; Arachnida; Araneae; Anyphaenidae. The record is from RNAcentral.
AGGUAGUAAUAAAUUAAUAAAACCUCUUUACACUGGCGGCAUUCAACCUUAUUAGAGGAACUUGUUUCAUAAUCGAAAACUCACGAUAAUUUAUACUUUUUUAAAAAAUUUAUAUACCGCCAUUUAAAGAAUUAAUUUAAAAAUAAAAUUCUUAAUAAAAAUUAAAAAGUAAGGUCAAGGUGUAGUCUAUAUUAAAGAGUAAAAUGAGUUACUUUAAAUAUUAUUUAAGGAAAAUGUAACAAAUAAUAUUAAAAAAAAGGAUUUAAUAUUAAUAUAUUUAUAUAAUAAUAUUAUUAUAUGAAUAAAAUAAUAAAUGUGU